CCUACGGGUGGCAGCAGUGAGGAAUAUUGGUCAAUGGACGAGAGUCUGAACCAGCCAAGUAGCGUGAAGGAUGACUGCCCUAUGGGUUGUAAACUUCUUUUAUAUGGGAAUAAAACGUUCCACGUGUGGGAUUUUGUAUGUACCAUAUGACUAAGGAUCGGCUAACUCCGUGCCAGCAGCCGCGGUAAUACGGAGGAUCCGGGCGUUAUCCGGAUUUAUUGGGUUUAAAGGGAGCGUAGGUGGAUUGUUAAGUCAGUUGUGAAAGUUUGCGGCUCAACCGUAAAAUUGCAGUUGAAACUGGCAGUCUUGAGUACAGUAGAGGUGGGCGGAAUUCGUGGGGUAGCGGUGAAAUGCUUAGAUAUCACGAAGAACUCCGAUUGCGAAGGCAGUUCACUGGACUGCAACUGACACUGAGGCUCGAAAGUGUGGGUAUCAAACAGGAUUAGAUACCCGAGUAGUC
This 460-nucleotide ribosomal RNA is filed under the name uncultured bacterium. RNAcentral describes it as "partial 16S ribosomal RNA". It matches the Rfam family "Bacterial small subunit ribosomal RNA", at positions 338 to 795 of the family's 1533-position model. The record is from RNAcentral.